CAGCAGUCGCCACGGUAAUACGGAGGGUGCAAGCGUUACUCGGAAUCACUGGGCGUAAAGGACGCGUAGGCGGAUUAUCAAGUCUCCUGUGAAAUCUAACGGCUUAACCGUUAAACUGCUUGGGAAACUGAUAAUCUAGAGUAAGGGAGAGGCAGAUGGAAUUCUUGGUGUAGGGGUAAAAUCCGUAGAGAUCAAGAAGAAUACCCAUUGCGAAAGCGAUCUGCUGGAACUUAACUGACGCUAAUGCGUGAAAGCGUGGGGAGCAAACAGGAUUAGAUACCCGGGUAGUCCCUGUCUCUUAUAC
Molecule: ribosomal RNA, 304 nt
Filed under: uncultured bacterium
Lineage: Bacteria
Description: partial 16S ribosomal RNA
Rfam family: Bacterial small subunit ribosomal RNA
Source: RNAcentral